Molecule: long non-coding RNA, 963 nt
Organism: Leopardus geoffroyi (Geoffroy's cat)
Lineage: Eukaryota; Metazoa; Chordata; Mammalia; Carnivora; Felidae
Exons: 3
Source: RefSeq, a predicted model, not a curated record
UUGCGAGAUGCCAAGAGGGAAAUCUCUGGUUAACGGAGUGCAUUGUUGAACUGGGCUGGGCUCGCCCAGCGUCUGUUGGGUCCUGUUGACGCCAGCCACCAAAGUGUGUGAGAACAGCACCGCUUCGCACCCCUUUUCCGGCCUCUCCCUUCCCCUCCGGGUUGGGACGCGGUCACAUCUCCCUGACUCUCUUUAGCACCCGCUUCCCGCUUCUCAUCGGCCUGUGCUUCCUUCCCCAUCCGACGGACUACUCGCCUCCUUAGCGGCUGACUUAUCCCAGAUCUUCUGUCACAUUCUCCCCAGGUUCCUGUCGCAUUUACCUCAGAUCUCCUGUCACACUGAAGUCCCCUGUCACCUCACCCCAGGUCUGCUGUCACACUUACCCCAAGCCUCCUAUCACAUCAGUUUCCUAUCGCACUUAACCCAGGCCUCCUGUCACACUUAUCCCAGGCGUCCUCUCACAUGUACCUCAGAUCUCCUGUCACACUUACCCCAGGUCUCCUGUCACCACAUCCCAGGUCUUCUGUCACACUUACCCCAAGCCUCCUAUCACAUCAGUUUCCUAUCGCACUUAACCCAGGCCUCCUGUCACACUUAUCCCAGGCGUCCUCUCACAUGUACCUCAGAUCUCCUGUCACACUUACCCCAGGUUCCUGUCACAGAUACCUAGGUCUCCUGUCCACUCACCCAGGUCUCAUGUCACCUUUACCCCAGGUCUCCUGUCACACUCACCUCAGGUCUCCUGUCAUGUUGGCCCCAGGUCUCUUUUCACACUUCUCCUAGAUUUCCUGUCACACCCACCCCAGAACUCCUGUGACAUUUACCCCAGGUCUCUUUUCACAUUUCAGGAGAACACAAGAUUCCUCAGGUUGUGUAAAUUUGCUUGACUAGUAGUAGAACAAUUACCUUUUUUGUAAAGAGGUGGAAAGAUUUUUAGGUAGGCAUAAACUUUACAUUUUUCAA